This 253-nucleotide ribosomal RNA is filed under the name uncultured bacterium. RNAcentral's name for it is "partial 16S ribosomal RNA". It matches the Rfam family "Bacterial small subunit ribosomal RNA", at positions 524 to 776 of the family's 1533-position model. The record is from RNAcentral.
UACGGAGGGGGCUAGCGUUGUCCGGAGUUACUGGGCGUAAAGCGCGCGUAGGCGGGUUGGUAAGUCCGCUGUGAAAGCCCGGAGCUCAACUCCGGAGGGUCGGUGGAUACUGCCAGUCUUGAAGGUGCUAGGGGGAGAUGGAAUUACCGGUGUAGCGGUGAAAUGCGUAGAUAUCGGUAGGAACACCAGUGGCGAAGGCGGUCUCCUGGGGCAUUCUUGACGCUGAGGCGCGAAAGCUGGGGGAGCAAACGGG